UUGCUGCUCCCAACAGGCUGACACCCACUGUGUGUUUGGACCACGUGUCCUUCGCCGUCCACAGACUGUGUCCUGGCACUCGUGGUUAAUGCAGCCAUGGGUGUGAGAAUGCAGACAUCCCCUCACACACUGAUUUCUUCCUUUGCCGUGUUCUCACUGAAACGAGCACAAUGAAGUUGCUGAGCAAGCGGCGCGGGGAUGCUCUGCUCUCUGGAAGUGCAUUUGGGUUUAGCGCAAGGUAUCUGCAGCUCUGUAAGCAGAAGCAGUGGCAGCUUUUAUUUUCCACUGGACCGUGGAUUUACAGGGACAGGUGUUCGGUUCAGUUCUGGGAGAGUGGGCAGACCUGGAGUGUGGCAUCUGCAUGGGCUGGUGGCCCAGCACCGCAUCACCGGGUCUUACUGUGUGACUUAUGCUGCUUGAGCUCGCCAUAUAGCUGAGAACGACCCUGACCUCCGGGUCCUCCCGAGCCCCAGGGUGGCAAGUGUGUGCCUCCACACCCACGAAUAAACUGAAUACCUCCA
Molecule: long non-coding RNA, 521 nt
Organism: Mesocricetus auratus (golden hamster)
Lineage: Eukaryota; Metazoa; Chordata; Mammalia; Rodentia; Cricetidae
Exons: 4
Source: RefSeq, a predicted model, not a curated record